Molecule: ribosomal RNA, 253 nt
Filed under: uncultured bacterium
Lineage: Bacteria
Description: partial 16S ribosomal RNA
Rfam family: Bacterial small subunit ribosomal RNA
Source: RNAcentral
UACGUAGGAGACGAGCGUUGUCCGGAGUUACUGGGCGUAAAGGGUGCGCAGGCGGCCUGGCGCGUCGCGAGUGAAAUCUCCUGGCUCAACUGGGAGGGUGGUCGCGAGACGGCUGGGCUUGAGGUCGGGAGGGGGAAGCGGAAUUCCGGGUGUAGUGGUGGAAUGCGUAGAUAUCCGGAGGAACACCAGUGGCGAAGGCGGCUUCCUGGCCCGAUUCUGACGCUGAUAUGCGAAAGCGUGGGGAGCGAUCCGG